UGUCAGCUGGCUGAAUCUAGGAACAGGGUGAUCUGCAGUGGUAGUGCACAACUCCUCCCAGGUAGUUCCUAUGGGCUUGAGAGCUGGCCAGGUGACACACUCUUCCCGACAGCUGCAGAAACAUGUCCAACAUGCAGGAAUCCAGACAAGCUGCAGCAACUGAGGCACUAGCUGCAUGAGGGAGUGAAAGCUGCAAGAAUGGAGAAAGCAGCAUAGAGAACGGUCCUGUUUCUGUCAGGACAUUGCCGAUAUUGCCCCACCUGCAGGCCUAAGCGAUAGAUCUGCUGCUGUCUGUCAAGUCAAUGAAUAAGUCAGGAUCUUGGUAAACGGAUUCCCAUGAAAACCUUUUUUACAUAAAGAAUGGUACCAGACAGGAAUACCCUUUGUCAAAUCUGUCUUGUCCCGGACAUCAAAAGGUGUCCUAAUUGGUGUGGAAGAAUAAGAGAAGUAUUUUUGCUGAUAAUGAACUCUUACCAUUAAUCAUCCCCUAUACAUCCAUACGCAUCCUCAUACAGAUCCUUGCUACAUAUAUGGUGCUCACUCUGCAUAAUGAAACGGUCUAAUACAGCAUCUUCUUCAUCUGCAACCCUGGAUCCUGGGUCUCCUGUACCGCAAUUGUAACUUCUCCCAUUGCACCUGCAAAGUUAAAUACUCAGGUGGUGCUUCUAGUUAUUAAGACUCCCUCUAACAUGACAAUUUUCCCUUCCUACUUAAAUCAAUGAAAUUGAAUCUUCUUAGAUGGUAAAAAUGAAUAAUCUCCUGACUAGGUAAAAUAGUGGUCAUUGAGAUUAACCUCAUGCCCCAACUGCUUUAUCUCUUCCAGACCCACGUAAAGGUGUCAUAGUAUACUUUAACCCAAUUACACAGAUGUUGGUAUGGAGACUCAGUCCAUCCUAUUCAAGCUUCUUCAAAAUCCUACGUGCUACCACCAAUGGCAGAAUAUUUUAAGAUGUCAGUCUUUAUUAAUUGGAUCAUAAUGCUGUCUCAAGUCAAGUUGUAACCAGAGUGCAAGCCCUGCAAUGGGUAUAUCUGGAGGCCAACUCCUGCAAUAUUUCUCCUGUCAUCAAUUAUUGUUGCCGCAGCUACCCUGAGUCCCGCCUUGGCAUGGGUCCUCAAUGUCAUGUCUUCUCAUUACUCAUUUGGAACUAUUGAAUAACACACUAUGACACUACCUCUUCUCCCUACCCUAUCAGCCCAUUCUAGCAGUUUUACCCCUAGGACACCGUUCAUCUUGCUUGUGCUUAGGAAUUGAGAAUGUUGUUAGGGUGGUAUCGGAUACUCUUGACUUUACAACUAAAACUUGAAAUCCCAACCAUCAGGCUGCCAAGUUUUCUGCUGUUAAAUACUAAAAGGAAGACAGAAUUCCUUUAAUGAGUGCUAAA
Molecule: long non-coding RNA, 1382 nt
Organism: Pseudophryne corroboree (corroboree frog)
Lineage: Eukaryota; Metazoa; Chordata; Amphibia; Anura; Myobatrachidae
Exons: 3
Source: RefSeq, a predicted model, not a curated record